GGCUCAGAGCGAACGCUGCGGGCAGGCUUAACACAUGCAAGUCGAGCGGGCGUAGCAAUACGUCAGCGGCAGACGGGUGAGUAACGCGUGGGAACGUACCUUUUGGUUCGGAACAACACAGGGAAACUUGUGCUAAUACCGGAUAAGCCCUUACGGGGAAAGAUUUAUCGCCGAAAGAUCGGCCCGCGUCUGAUUAGCUAGUUGGUGAGGUAACGGCUCACCAAGGCGACGAUCAGUAGCUGGUCUGAGAGGAUGAUCAGCCACAUUGGGACUGAGACACGGCCCAAACUCCUACGGGAGGCAGCAGUGGGGAAUAUUGGACAAUGGGGGCAACCCUGAUCCAGCCAUGCCGCGUGAGUGAUGAAGGCCCUAGGGUUGUAAAGCUCUUUUGUGCGGGAAGAUAAUGACGGUACCGCAAGAAUAAGCCCCGGCUAACUUCGUGCCAGCAGCCGCGGUAAUACGAAGGGGGCUAGCGUUGCUCGGAAUCACUGGGCGUAAAGGGUGCGUAGGCGGGUCUUUAAGUCAGGGGUGAAAUCCUGGAGCUCAACUCCAGAACUGCCUUUGAUACUGAAGAUCUUGAGUCCGGGAGAGGUGAGUGGAACUGCGAGUGUAGAGGUGAAAUUCGUAGAUAUUCGCAAGAACACCAGUGGCGAAGGCGGCUCACUGGCCCGGUACUGACGCUGAGGCACGAAAGCGUGGGGAGCAAACAGGAUUAGAUACCCUGGUAGCCCACGCCGUAAACGAUGAAUGCCAGCCGUUAGUGGGUUUACUCACUAGUGGCGCAGCUAACGCUUUAAGCAUUCCGCCUGGGGAGUACGGGUCGCAGAUUAAAACUCAAAU
Molecule: ribosomal RNA, 840 nt
Filed under: uncultured bacterium
Lineage: Bacteria
Description: bacterial SSU rRNA
Rfam family: Bacterial small subunit ribosomal RNA
Source: RNAcentral